This 70-nucleotide transfer RNA is filed under the name Dipodomys ordii (Ord's kangaroo rat). It matches the Rfam family "tRNA". Rfam says of the family: Transfer RNA (tRNA) molecules are approximately 80 nucleotides in length. Their secondary structure includes four short double-helical elements and three loops (D, anti-codon, and T loops). Lineage: Eukaryota; Metazoa; Chordata; Mammalia; Rodentia; Heteromyidae. The record is from Rfam by way of RNAcentral.
GGAAAGGUAGCUCAGCAGCAGAGUGCAUGCCUUGCAAGCAUGAGGCCCUGGGUUCGAUUCCUCAGCACCA